GAUGAACGCUGGCGGCGUGCCUAAUACAUGCAGGUCGAGCGAACGGACGAGAAGCUUUCUUCUCUGAUGUUAGCGGCGGACGGGUGAGUAACACGUGGAUAACCUACCUAUAAGACUGGGAUAACUUCGGGAAACCGGAGCUAAUACCGGAUGAUAUUUUGAACCGCAUGGUUCAAAAGUGAAAGACGGUCUUGCUGUCACUUAUAGAUGGAUCCGCGCUGCAUUAGCUAGUUGGUAAGGUAACGGCUUACCAAGGCAACGAUGCAUAGCCGACCUGAGAGGGUGGUCGGCCAGACGAGAACUGAGACACGGUCGAGACUCCGACGGGAGGCAGCAGUAGGGAAUCUUCCGCAAUGGAGGAAAGCCUGACGGAGCAACGCCGCGUGAGUGAUGAAGCACUUCGGAUCGUAGAGCUAUGUUAUUAGGGAAGAACAUAUGUGUAAGUAACUGUGCACAUCGUGACGGUACCUAAUCAGAAAGCCACGGCUAACUACGUG
RNAcentral lists this ribosomal RNA (497 nucleotides) under uncultured bacterium. RNAcentral describes it as "partial 16S ribosomal RNA". It matches the Rfam family "Bacterial small subunit ribosomal RNA", at positions 28 to 507 of the family's 1533-position model. The record is from RNAcentral.